CCGGAAAUGGCAGGCAAGCUGAGCAAUUUGGGUUCAAGGCUCCUUGGCGGAAAUGGCGUUGUUGGUCGCUCAAUCGCUUCAUCUCUUCGACUUCGCUCCGGCAUGGGCCUUCCUGUCGGCAAACACAUCGUCCCCGACAAACCCCUUCCUGUGAACGACGAACUGGUUUGGGAUAAUGGAACUGCUUUUCCCGAACCCUGUAUUGAUCGCAUUGCAGAUACGGUUGGAAAGUACGAAGCCUUGGCUUGGUUAUGUGGGG
This 259-nucleotide unclassified non-coding RNA is filed under the name Hevea brasiliensis (rubber tree). The record is from RNAcentral. Lineage: Eukaryota; Viridiplantae; Streptophyta; Magnoliopsida; Malpighiales; Euphorbiaceae.